UUGUUGAAUUUAGGGUUGAUGGUGACUAGAUAAGGAAGAUGAAGCUGGAGGGAUUCCAGGGAUAAGAGGGACCGGAGGGAGCGGAAUAGGGAGAGAAGGUGGCGGCAUAGGUAGCGAAGGCGGAUUUACGACUGGAACAGGAGGAAGAACCGGAAGAGGUGGAAGAGUUGGAAUUGUUGGAACCGGUGGGAGAGUUGGUGUUGCCGGGGGAGAAGGAAGUAGCGGAAUCGGUGGUAGAGUUGGUGUUGCUGGAGGAGAGGGAAGUAGGGGAAUUGGAGGGAGAGUUGGGGGAGACGGGAUCAACGGGUUUGGAGGAAGAGUUGGGGUUGGGAUAGAAGGGAUCAGAGGGUUUGGAGGGAUGACGGAUGGCGGGUUUAGCGGGUUUGGAGGAAGGAAGAAGAAAUCGGGUUUUAGCACUUCGGUUUUCUUGUCUUCCAAGGAACCAUAUUUCUUGCUAUGCAAGGAAGCUGAUUUCCGUGAUCCUGAUGUUCCUGGAGGAAGAAGAGGAGGAAUUGUAGGAAGAGGCAAGUCCGGAAGCGGAGGUACGAUUGGGAGAUUUGGGAUAGCGGAAGGAGUAGGCGGAUCUUGGAUCGGUGGAGGGAAUGAGGGAUCCGGUAAAAGAGGCUUGGUGGUUUGGCCGAGGUUGACUUGUUUUUGGCUACAAAUCUCUGGUUGGUUUUCGGGUUUGAAAGUGAAGAAUCCUGCGGAGAAGACCCUAGUGUUCUCUCCAUGGUGGUUUGAUCUAAGGCGUUUGAAAGAAGAAGAUGUCGCCGAAGAAGCUAUGGAACAGUAAGGCUGUGAGCUACUUAGCAACUUCACAGAGCAUCUCUUGAUCUUCUUCACAUGUUUGCUGACAGAGAAAGGUAGCUUCACUUUG
Molecule: long non-coding RNA, 877 nt
Filed under: Capsella grandiflora
Lineage: Eukaryota; Viridiplantae; Streptophyta; Magnoliopsida; Brassicales; Brassicaceae
Description: long non-coding RNA (CGRA_LNC001529)
Source: RNAcentral